UUCAAAAACCAAACCUAAACUCACGCACAAGACAGAUAUCAAGUGCACUCAACAGCCGUCGGGUAGCUUGUCGUGUGGAUUCUAUGUUGCACUGAACAUGUACGACCUACUCGGUGACAUAAAUAUCAUUAAAAAGGCUUCUGAUUACAAAGCUACCCAAGAAGUAGAUCAAGGAGCACUAAGGAUGGUCCAGCGGAUGCUCUGCGAUUUCAUUCUUAAGGAGAUUAUCGACCCAAAGGGCAGCUUCCAUGAUGAGCCAGCACAUGCCGUGUGAGUUCAUUCUAAAUGCUCUGAAACAGUGAACUUGGAACUUGUAACCUGUAAAUUUAAACUUGCAGUCAUAAACCUUGUAACUUGUAACAUGUAACUUUAAUUCUUGAUGUGUACUUGUGUAGAUAACUUUCAUUCUUGAUGUGUAAUCUGUGAUGUAUAUAUAUGCGCUUGAUGUAUAA
This is a long non-coding RNA of Panicum virgatum (switchgrass), 452 nucleotides long. RefSeq lists it as uncharacterized. The record is from RefSeq and is a predicted model, not a curated record. The transcript has 3 exons. NCBI's taxonomy places the organism in Eukaryota, Viridiplantae, Streptophyta, Magnoliopsida, Poales, Poaceae.